Molecule: long non-coding RNA, 2055 nt
Organism: Tupaia belangeri chinensis (Chinese tree shrew)
Lineage: Eukaryota; Metazoa; Chordata; Mammalia; Scandentia; Tupaiidae
Exons: 3
Source: RefSeq, a predicted model, not a curated record
AAGAGUCUGGCCCAGGACUCAAACCAUGGUCAGCCAUGUGAGAGUAUCCAGCACCUUAAGCACUAUGCCAUCAGCUGGCCCCAAGGUUUUUGUUACUUUUUACCAAAUAAUCUUCGCCAACCCAGUUACGACCACAUCUGUGUAUCUUACUGGGUUUACCCAUUCCCAGCUUGGAGGCCGUGCUGAAUCUGUCUCUACCCAUUAGAGAAAGACCAAGAUUGGAGUUUCCAUCUGGACCGUCAUCCAGGUGCUUUCCCUAGGGGCCAUCCCCCCAGGAAGAGUUUGGGGUAAAGAAAGUCAGCCAGCAAAGCUGGGGUGGUGGGAAGCCUCUGGAAUCAGAGGGACCUGAGCCAAUGCUGGCACCACCACCCACUGCUGACUUCAGCCAGACCAUCCCCUCUCUGGGCCUGCCUGCUCCUUCUGUAAAGCAUGAUGGGACAGUCCCGCCUUGCUGACUGUGCUGAGAAGUCAAGGAAAUGAACAGUGUCCGGCACCGUGCCCUGUCAAGGCCUGGGUCUGGCUUCGUGGUCUCCACGGCAGUGCUGGUGGUGUCUGGCUUAUGACUGUCAUGCCCCACAUGUCCUCCACCCCCAUCCCAUAGAGCAUUUUCCCCUUCACUGCUGACCCCACUCAAGCCGCUGGUGAUGUAUCAUUAAAAUGUCAGAGUUGAAGGCUGCAACACAGAACGUUUCCAUUUCUUAUCCCAAAGAGACCUUGUUAGGAAAAUGUAGCUCGUUGCUUGAAAAAUAUCCUACAGUUUAGCCUGGACAGGGUUGCCCCAGAAAGGGAAAAACAGUCUCAAGCCAAACAUCUUCCCAGCCAGCAAGUAUGAUCUCGCUGACAGUGCUCAGCCUGCAGGCUAUAUAGCCUUUGCAGAAGCUGCGACAGCGGAGGUGACGACUCUGUUCUCAGGGGAACCAGCGCCACUCGGAGAACUUGCUGUAUUCUGCCUGUGGUGGGCAGAGCUCCAUGGCCAGGGUCCAUGUCCAGGUUCACCUCGUGUGUGCUGUGUAGCCUCGUUUCUUAUCUAAAAUGGGGUAAUAGGACCUGUCUCACAGUGGAGGUUAAAUGAGUUAAACACAUAGGGCCCUUGGACCAGAGCCUGGUGUCCACCAAGCUGGCUGCCAUCGUCACGAUCUCAUCAUCUUGCAAAGCUGGAGUGAAGAGGGAAUGAGACUGUGAGUGUGGCCCAUCAUUAAUGGCUACACUGUGCUCCAGGCAGAGGGUUCAGUGAGUGACCUUUUGUGCUCCAGGCAGAGGCGAGGGUGCUCAAGGCCCUAGGAGCCAGUCAACUGUCAGCAGAGGUUGCUGUCCCCUAGCCCUGCCCCUCAGCAUGGAGGCCUGCCUGCCUUCCAAGCUUCUCAGCUUGCCCCUCCUCCUGCUGGGUGGGUCCAGAAAAAGGAUAGAGGCCACCGGGUCCUACUCUGUGUUUACCUUGGUUUGUUUGGAGUUACCCAGAGGGAUCUAGCUGGGGUGGCUGAUGGGCAACAUGCUCCUUGGGGAGGUUUUAGGUCCAAGUUAUAAGCUUGGCACUUAAAAGGAAUUAAAAGGAACUCUGUGCCAGGAGCAUGGCAAAAGCUGCAGCCUUAUUUGGUCUGGAAACUGCCUUGCUUGGAGGAAAAGGGAAGUGGGUAAGCAGACCUCUCAUGGGGUGGGCAGAGAAAACGGCCAGUUCCUAAUUAUCCUGGGACGGGUUGUCCAGUGAGUGAAUUAUUUCGAUCUCGUCUCUCUCUCUGCUUUUGGCCGCUUGCCGUUUUCAACAAUGAAUCUCCCCUUCUCCACUGGAACCACCGCUCAACCGUCUCUCCCGUGCCCUCAACAGUGACGUUUGAGCAGUGACCCGAAGAAAAUGAGGAAUGGAACUCUGCACACAUCAGGGGAAAACAAUCUGGGCAGAGGGGACAGCAAGCGCAAAGGCCUGGAGGCACAAUAGACCGGAGAGAGAAACAGAGAUAGGUAGAACCAACAGAGCCUUCAUGCCACCCCCAGUCUCAGCUGGCCUGGAUGAUGGGCACAUGUGCAUGUAUCCUGUGUGCUCAGGGAAGACAUGAACCC